UUGUCUCAAAGAUUAAGCCAUGCAAGUCUCAGUACAGACUGUAUUAAAGUGAAACCGCAAAAGGCUCAGUAAACCAGUUUUAAUUUACUAGAGUAAACUUGACUGUGCUUGGAUAACUGUGGUAAUUCUAGAGCUAAUACAUGCAAACAAACCCCCUGCCAUUUAUGGUAGGGGCUGCUUUUAUUGGUCCAAGACCAUUCGCCCGGUCCUCCGGGCGUCUCCUUGAUGAAUCCAAAUAACACAUCAGAUCGCAUGGUCUUCGUACCGGCGACUUAUCUUUCAAAUGCCUGACUUAUCAACUGACGAUGGUAGACUCUGUGUCUACCAUGGCUCCUACGGGUAACGGGGAAUCAGGGUUCGAUUCCGGAGAGGGAGCCUGAGAAACGGCUACCACAUCCAAGGAAGGCAGCAGGCACGCAAAUUACCCACUCCCGGCACGGGGAGGUAGUGACAAAAAAUAACGAUACGGGACUCGAUAUGAGGCCCCGUAAUCGGAAUGAGUACACUUUAAACCCUUAUUCAAAUAUCAAUUGGAGGGAAAGUUCUGGUGCCAGCAGCCGCGGUAAUUCCAGCUCCAAUAGCGUAUAUUAAAGUUGUUGCGGUUAAAAAGCUCGUAGUUGGUUCUGCGUCCCACGCUGUCGGUACACCUUUUGUUGGUGACACUGGCAUGCCGUGGUAUGUCCUGUCGGUGGCGGCCUUUGGUGGUCCCUAGCGCUUCGGGUCAAACCGUCGUGCGAAGGUCUACCUGGUCGCCGGCUACUAUCCUACCGCGGUGCUCUUCACUGAGCGUCGAGGUAGGCCGACACGUUUACUUUGAACAAAUUUGAGUGCUUAAAGCAGGCAAAAAUCUCUGCCUGAAUAGUGGUGCAUGGAAUAAUGGAACAGGCCCUUGGUUCUAUUUUGUUGGUCUUCGGAACACAAGGAAAUGAUCAAUGUGGACAGGCGGGGGCAUUCGUAUUGCGGCGUUAGACUUGGCAAAUGCUUUCGCGGUGAAAUUCUUGGAUCGUCGCAAGACGCACUAGAGCGAAAGCAUUUGCCAAGUAUGUCUUAAUUGAUCAAGAACGAAAGUUAGAGGUUCGAAGGCGAUCAGAUACCGCCCUAGUUCUAACCAUAAACGAUGCCAGCCAGCGAUCCGCCGAUGUUCCUCCGAUGACUCGGCGGGGAGCUUUCUUCGGGAAACCAAAGCUUUUGGGUUCCGGGGGAAGUAUGGUUGCAAAGCUGAAACUUAAAGGAAUUGACGGAAGGGCACCACAAGGAGUGGAGCCUGCGGCUUAAUUUGACUCAACACGGGAAACCUCACCAGGUCAAGACAUUGGAAUGAUUGACAGAUUGAUAGCUCUUUCUUGAUUCAGUGGGUAGUGGUGCAUGGCCGUUCUUAGUUGGUGGAUCGAUUUGUCUGGUUAAUUCCGAUAACGAACGAGACUCUAGCCAAUUAACUAGACGUUUCCGGUAUCGAAGCUACCGGCGAUAUAUUAUCUUCUUAGGGGGACAGGCGGCUCUUAGCCGCACGAGAUUGAGCAAUAACAGGUCUGUGAUGCCCUUAGAUGUCCUGGGCCGCACGCGCGCUACACUGAAGGAAUCAGCCUGUUCGUUCCCUUGGCCGAAAGGCCCGGGUAACCCGCUGAACCUCCUUCGUGCUAGGAAUUGGGGCUUGCAAUUGUUCCCCAUGAACGAGGAAUUCCUAGUAAGCGCGAGUCAUAAGCUCGCGUUGAUUACGUCCCUGCCCUUUGUACACACCGCCCGUCGCUACUACCGAUUGAAUGAUUUAGUGAGGUCUUCGGACCGGCGGUAAGCCCAACCGGUUUCGGCCGGUUUUGUCGAACGCUGGAAAGAUGACCAAACUUGAUCAUUUAGAGGAAGUAAAAGUCGUAACAAGGUUUCC
RNAcentral lists this ribosomal RNA (1882 nucleotides) under Anthocoris sp. WCW-2003. RNAcentral describes it as "SSU rRNA". It matches the Rfam family "Eukaryotic small subunit ribosomal RNA". Lineage: Eukaryota; Metazoa; Arthropoda; Insecta; Hemiptera; Anthocoridae. The record is from RNAcentral.